CGACUAACGCUUCUCCGCUGCUGGCAUGUCAUGUUUCCUAAAGGUUGUGAACUUGUAAGUGCCUCUUCUCCAGCACAGUACAUUCAGAGCAGAAAAGGGAAUAGAAAGGGUGCACAUGUCUGCAUGUGAAAAAGGUGUUUUCACAUACCAAUUUUUCAUCUGAUACAACAGGAAUUUAAAGGGAUGGGACUCUAAUUAGCAGUAGCUCACGCGGUCCUGCCCUUUGCCAGGAGCUGCAAAAGGCAGAUGGAAUAUGCUGCAGACAGGCAGAGUCACGGUCUGUUCCACCUCCAGCACACCAGCGGGACCUUUCUGUUCGCAUCUCACCAGCCGUAGUGGAAGGGAAGAUGGAUUAGCAUUUUCCCAGGAAAGCCAGAACGAAUCACUGUUUCCUUUUCCUGCCACCUGACCCCUCUCCAAUUAGGGGAAAGAAAAAGCAGACAGAUUUCUCUAACAACUCUUCCUCACAAGGAUAUUGCUGGUCAGUCUCAAAAAGUCCACAAAGAAGACAAAAGAAUCAUAUAUUUGGUCAUCUUCUGUCAGGCAGAAGACCUUACCAGCGUUUCCUGGCCCAAGUAUUUGUACAACGUAAUCUCUUGCUCUUGACACCUUUGAAGACUUCAGUGUGCUCAUAAAUCCUAUAGAAAUAUAAACUGGUGCCUGACAGAAAACCAUAAAAAAAAAUUGACCUUUGGCUACAGAAACCUCCCUUGUUUUGGAAAUAUACUCUUACAGACUAGUGGUUUUAAGGGUUA
Grus americana (Whooping crane) is the source of this 755-nucleotide long non-coding RNA. RefSeq lists it as uncharacterized. The record is from RefSeq and is a predicted model, not a curated record. The transcript is spliced from 3 exons. Lineage: Eukaryota; Metazoa; Chordata; Aves; Gruiformes; Gruidae.